Molecule: ribosomal RNA, 931 nt
Filed under: uncultured bacterium
Lineage: Bacteria
Description: bacterial SSU rRNA
Rfam family: Bacterial small subunit ribosomal RNA
Source: RNAcentral
AGAGUUGAUCCUGCUCAGAAUCAACGCUGGCGGCGUGCCUCAGACAUGCAAGUCGAACGAGAAAGUUCCCUUUCGGGGGAUGAGUAAAGUGGCGCACGGGUGAGUAACACGUAGGUAAUCUACCUUCGGAUGGGGAAUAACCCAGGGAAACUUGGGCUAACACCGCAUAAUGCAGCGGCACCACAUGGUGACAGUUGUUAAAGCGGGGGAUUUUCGAACCUCGCGUCUGAAGAGGAGCCUGCGGCAGAUUAGCUAGUUGGUAAGGUAACGGCUUACCAAGGCGACGAUCUGUAACCGGCCUGAGAGGGCGGUCGGUCACACUGACACUGACAUACGGGUCAGACUCCUACGGGAGGCAGCAGUCGGGAAUUUUGGGCAAUGGGCGAAAGCCUGACCCAGCAACGCCGCGUGAAGGAUGAAAUCCCUCGGGAUGUAAACUUCGCAAGAUUGGGAAGAAUUAGUAGGGGUUAAUACCCCCUAUGAUGACGGUACCAUUUGUAAGCUCCGGCUAACUCCGUGCCAGCAGCCGCGGUAAUACGGGGGGAGCAAGCGUUGUUCGGAUUUACUGGGCGUAAAGGGCGCGUAGGCGGUCAGCACAAGUCAGUUGUGAAAUCUCCGGGCUUAACUCGGAAAGGUCAACUGAUACUGUGCGACUAGAGUGCAGAAGGGGCAACUGGAAUUCUCGGUGUAGCGGUGAAAUGCGUAGAUAUCGAGAGGAACACCUGCGGCGAAGGCGGGUUGCUGGGCUGACACUGACGCUGAGGCGCGAAAGCCAGGGGAGCGAACGGGAUUAGAUACCCCGGUAGUCCUGGCCUUAAACGAUGGAUGCUUGGUGUCUGGAGUUAUAUAGUCUCCGGGUGCCGCAGCUAACGCGUUAAGCAUCCCGCCUGGGGAGUACGGUCGCAAGACUGAAACUCAAAGGAAUUGACGG